Molecule: ribosomal RNA, 254 nt
Filed under: uncultured bacterium
Lineage: Bacteria
Description: partial 16S ribosomal RNA
Rfam family: Bacterial small subunit ribosomal RNA
Source: RNAcentral
UACGGGGGGAGCAAGCGUUGUUCGGAUUUACUGGGCGUAAAGGGCGCGUAGGCGGCCAGCGCAAGUCAGUUGUGAAAUCUCCGGGCUUAACUCGGAACGGUCAACAGAUACUGCGCGGCUAGAGUGCAGAAGGGGCAACUGGAAUUCUCGGUGUAGCGGUGAAAUGCGUAGAUAUCGAGAGGAACACCUGCGGCGAAGGCGGGUUGCUGGGCUGACACUGACGCUGAUGCGCGAAAGCCAGGGGAGCGAACGGG